GCUGUAGGUGGUGGGGGGUUGUGCCUCCCCUCUCGAAGUGAGAUGCCCCCACCGAGCCGGGUCUCGUCCCUUUCUCCUUGACGGCGGCGGCGGUGGUCCCCUCACACCUAAUGCCUGCAACAAGAGAGCUUCAAAAUCGCCGAAACUUUCUUGAUAGUCUGUGGAACCCGGCUGCAUCCCUGGUUGGGGCUUCUCCGGUGCACGUGUUCCCCUUCAAUUCCGGGCACUUCCUACUAGAUCAGUACUAGCAAUAGAUUUGGUUUUGCGAAUUGCGAAGAUGAUGGUGAACUAGAGUGACGGAGACGCGUUGAAUUGCGUUGCGUUAGCCGGCGCGUCGCUCGGCCGAAUGCGUGCGUUCCCGGACCGCGCCACCGCCGCCGCCGCCGCGUGAGUUAUUGAUUUUGCUGGCAGUCUUGGCCUGCUCUUGGCGGGCGAGCGAGCGCCGCCCCCAACGAUGACGUAGACUGCCCCCGGUGCCGAUCAUGCUCAGAAGCCGCUCUCUCUUCUCACACGGCUCCCGAAAGUACUUUCCGAUAAAAAGAUUUCCCGGCCCGUCUAUCGCUCGGAUAGCGUGCGCUAAAACUUUUUUACACUUCAUUUUAAAUUAAAUAGCCUACAACUUCUCUUUCUUUGCCGCUACUUCCCUCCUGUUAUCCUUCUUUCUUUUCUCUCGAAAGGGGCGGCAACAACAGAAAGUGCCUCGUCGGAAAAACGCCGCUUUCAGUCUUAUCUCUAGCGUCUUCAACUACUAGGACGUCUGUCGCCGUUUAAUCCUUCGAUUAUACUCGUUACUCUUCCACUUUCCCGGGAAUAAACGUUGUCCAUAUUGAUAAACUUUUCAUUCCCCCUCCCCCCAACUUUGAAAGGGGCGGAUCUUCUCCCCCUUUCUCGGAAACUUCUUUCCCACUUUUGUUGGAGCGAUGUUGUAUAAAAAAUUGGCGGGUUGUGUGGCGCGUAGCACAAUGCAGUCGACACGCGUAACUGAGCGUCGCGUCAUCCUGGCAGUGAGUUGCCGCCUGCGUGUUGCAGCGUGACCGCACACACCACCACUUUCAGACUAAGAUGGCAGCCAGAAAAUCGCGUCAGUCAUACACGAUCAGGCACAUCCUGGAGAUGUCGCCCUCCACCCCUCCCCCAGAGAGGUGUCCCCGACCACCUCCUGUCCUCGAAUAUAAGUACUAUCACAGGUGGACAACUCAAAAAGAAGACGACGAAACAGAUCCGGCUCUACAGCCUGAAGAUCUGUCCAUAAAACGGCCGGAGCCUCGUCCUGAGAUGAGCAAGGUGGACGAAAUACAACGACCCAUGACGAGAGCUGGCCGUAUAUCAGAAGACUUACCAAUUAACUCAACUUCAUCCAUAUCCACAUCAAACCAAAACAGCACAUCCUUUCUCCAGAAACGAAAACAAGAAUUAUCAGCGAUGGUUAAGCCAAAAACGAACGAAAUUAUGAACAAGAAGAACAUGACAAAGAAGGAGGAGAUUCCUGUACAGGAAGAACCAGCUUCAAAGCGAAGAAGAAAGAUGACACGCAAUGGAGGAGAAAUGAAUGGAGAUGAGUCAUCAAAGGAGACAGCUUCAGAAGCACAGAAACAACAGAUGUUACCUCAGAAAAAGCGUGCCCUAGUGGGAGGUGUAUCAAACAGUCCCAACAAGAAGAGUGCGAAAAAUAGCUCGUCAAACAACCAGGAUGAGGCAUUGGAUGACGAAACUCUCAUCAGAGAAACUGAAGCAGCGCUGAAAAGUCUCUCAGGUAGCUGGCCUGGCUCCAGAAGUUCAUUCUACAAUCGCUCAGAACCGGAAGACCGGUUUGAAUCCCCCGCUUUCGAGAAUCUGUUCGAAGAGAAGAAAAAUUCGGCUGAUAAGGCUCCACCAGCAUCCUCGUCUUCAGCCACCGCGGGAAGUGGUGACUCGUCAUCGUGCUCACUGAAGGAUGUCAUCACACUACGCGAGCAACAGGAGAACAGAUCAAUGAAGGGGAACCUGAGAGGACAAGGAUCCAGAGAUGGCAUGAAUAGCAGGACAGGGCAAAAAUCGAGCAGUAGGGACAACAAUGACAAGGAAUCCAAGUAUGAGGAUCUAGACAACAUGAGGAAGAUUGAUGAGAGUAUGAACUCACAAAAAGGUAAACCGGGAGAAAAGGGUGAUGGUUCAAGUAAAGGUGAGAAGUUCGUGUCAGCUCCACGUUAUGAGCCUGAUUUCAAUGAGCUUGUUGACGAUUCCUCCAACGAACUAGAGAUCGAUAUGUCGGAUCCAGCAGGUGAGAAAGAAGAUGAUGACGAUAGGGGACAAGCAGAAAAAGCUGAUUACAAGUCGAAGAGGAAGAGUGAGUACGAUAAGAAGUCGAUUGAGAAAACUACCGUGAAGGAGGAACCUUCUUUGGGUGAAACUUUUGCUCAGCCUCGACAUGCUGAUGACAAGGGAGGUGGGAAUGUAGGAGCAACAUUCUCGCCCACAUCAGCGUUCAGGCCAAUUAAUAAUGAGAACAAGGAUGGGAGAAUAGGUGGUUUGGACCUGCAGGGCACAGUGGGCGCCGCCAUGUCACCGUUGGGUCCGUUCCCAGCCGGAGCUACAUUUGUGGGGUACCCGACGCCACCCAGUCUCCACCCGGCGGAGACGACCGCGACAGGCCCCAGUCGACACGAGGCCAAAUGUUUGCUGCAGCUGAAACCUACCGCGAUCAAAUCGGAGACGGAUCUGGAGCGCCAGGAGGUGGUCGGUCCGAAAGCGAGCGCGACCGUGUCGUCUCCCGACUCGAAACAGUACACGAUCCUGCAGCCGGCCGGAGCGGGGUCGCGUGCCGCAACCGCCAUCCAGGACGUGGCCAGAGAGGGUGUGGUCAGCGUGGCCGCAGUCUCCAGCUCGUCCUCCCCUGGCGCCCAACGCGAAUCGCCCAAGGUCACACCUGCUGAGCGCCCCGAAGCUACCCGGCCUACUGGCACCUUGUCGCCGACCAGCCUCACCAAAGAUGGUAGUAAAUGUCCGACACCAGGAUGUUUAGGCGAAGGCCACGUUACAGGAUUGUAUUCGCAUCAUCGCAGCUUAUCUGGAUGUCCGAGAAAAGAUAAAGUAACUCCAGAAAUCCUGGCGAUGCAUGAGACUAUCCUGAAAUGUCCGACGCCCGGCUGCAACGGACGAGGUCACGUGUCGACCAAUCGCAACACGCACCGCAGUCUGUCCGGAUGUCCGAUUGCCGCCGCCUCCAAGCAGGCCGCCCGCGAGCACCGCGCCAAGCGAGCAGUAGUAACACCGCAACCAGAGUGCGGCUUCAAAGCGGCGGUGCCGGGGGCGGUGACAGUGGCAGGGGUGGGGGUGGGGGUGGGGGCGAUGUCACCCUGCGACACGAAGCCAGCCGUGUGCUACCCGUCCAACUACACCGACCCGUCGGUCAGUCGCUCCUCGUCGUCCGACUACGCUCCGUCACCCUACUACUCCAAGGCCACCGUCAAGCCGACCAAGAUCCUGCAACAGGAGGACGACAAGUCGAAAAUCACACCCAAAAUGGAGAGCAAUGUGGUCAGCUGUUGUCGGCCGGAUAUGUUGGUGAAACCGGAAGUGACGUCAUGCCGAUCGCCACCUCCACCUAGACAGCCUCCAACCUACGACCCGUACAUCAACCACGAUUCAAACUCCUCGUCGGUGUCCAGCAUGGACCAACAGCAUCAAUCCCACCUGCAUCCUCCUCCCCCUCCCCAUCUGCCCGUCCCCCCACCGCCGCACCACAUACACCCCCCUCCCUCCGUGCCACCAUACACGAUGGUGGACGACAACCAGCGGCCAUCUCUGCAACACCGGCUGCCUUACGACAGCAACAUCUCUAGCAAUUCCUCCGAGGAGAUGUAUCAGCGACCACCGCAGAGCGAUCGGCCCACAUAUCCAUCCAGUAACCGGUUCCAAAGCGCGCCCGAGAUGGCGCGGAACGGUUACGAGGUGCGAGCCUACGAGACGGCGGCGGCUUCCUAUGACAGGUACGACGCCCCCCGCUACCCGCCGCCCCCACCCGACUACCCCGAGCCCACCUAUGAGGCGGCAGCUCAGCAUCAGCAGCAGAUGGCGGCAGCCGUCAUUAAGCAGGACCCCGUUGCCGAGCAACACGACCAGCCCGACGGACCUCUCUAUCCCAGACCGAUGUACCAUUACGAUCCAGCGAAUGGGAACGUUCCAGCGGGGUUUUCGCCAGCAGCCAUCAAUUUGUCAGUGAAAUGCGUGACUGCUUCACAGAUGAAAUGCAAUGAGCCAAGGUCACCCGGUGGUGGCUCUGUCAUGGACCUGUCAACUUCCAGUGUCACAUCAACUAGUCCACAGGCCGCUCCAUAUGGUUCGAACAGCCUCAGUCCUCACCACUACGGGGCGCAAAGGGGGAGUCCUCAGGCCGCCAAGAGCCCCCACCACAGUUCCAGUCCACAAGUGCCAAGCCCUCAGGGCCAAACCCUCGAUCUCAGCGUCAAUAACAGAUUAGGGUGGUGCGUUUUUAGGGGAACUGGCCGGCCCGUCUUCCCCGGGGCGGUUCCCCCCGGCGCCCCCCCUGCAGCCCCCGCCCCCGCACCCUACAGUCGGGACUCCACCCCCGACAGCGGCGGGUCGCACUACCUCGACUCCUACCGAGACGUCAAUGGUUAUGCGGCUAUGAGUCCUCAUCCUGGCUAUACGAUGUCAGGAGGCGAGUAUCAUGGCAACAGCUAUGCACCUUAUCCCUCAGCCUAUUCAUGUGGCUAUCCAACUGGCUCCUACCCUGGGCCUACACCCGGGUAUGCCCCCGCACCCUGCUAUACCAUGGGCCCUCCUCAGCACGAUAAAGUAGCGCCCACAUCUAAGGAUGAUAGCCUGUCGGGCUGUCCGCGGGCAGACCGCUCGCAAAUCCAGGCGCACUCGCAGGAGCUGAAGUGUCCGACUCCCGGCUGUGAUGGGUCCGGGCAUGUCACGGGCAACUACUCGUCGCACCGCAGCCUGUCCGGCUGUCCCAGGGCCAACAAGCCCAAGAGUAAACCCAGGGACGGACAGGACUCCGAACCGCUCAGGUGCCCUAUACCUGGUUGUGAUGGCUCAGGACAUGCCACAGGAAAAUUUUUAUCUCAUAGGAGCGCGUCCGGCUGCCCGAUAGCGAACCGCAACAAGAUGCGAGUGCUGGAAAGCGGCGGCACUGUGGAACAACACAAGGCGGCCAUGGCGGCGGUGACGGCGGCGGCCGCGGCGAAACUGGACGGCGUCAACUGUCCGACGCCCGGCUGCGACGGCGCCGGCCACGUCAACGGCACUUUCCUCACGCACCGCUCGCUGUCCGGGUGUCCCACCGCGUCCGCCACGCCGCAUCCGCCCUCCCAUCAUCCACUCGCCGGCCUCCCGCCCAAGAAGCCCGACCCCUACUCGGCCGACAAGCUGCGUCAACCAGCUGCGGCAGAAUUUUCAGCAGCAUGGUAUUGUGUGCAGGCGCUGAUGUGAUGUGCUCAGGGGCGGCAGUCGGAGGCGGUGGUGCCGGGGGCCCUGGGGGCGGCGAAGACCUGUACUCGCUGGAGGCGGAGAUCACUCACCUGCAGCGCGAAAACGCCAAGGUCGAAUCUCAGAUGAUGCGCCUCAAGACCGACAUUAGCGCCAUGGAGGCGCAUCUGCGUCAUGGCGAAAAGGAAACGCAAAUAAUCAGCCAGCGCAGCAACAACAUGAACGAGUACUUUGAGAGUUUGCGCAACAACAUGAUCACAAUCCUGGAGCACGUGCGGCUGCCGAACGGGCCGCAGGAGAAGAUGAACCAGGACAACUUUGACAACUACCUGAGCAAACUGCAAACGCUCUGCACGAGCAGCACGGGCCCUGAGGGCAACCCGGUCUACUGCGAGGAGAACCAACGCAGCAUGUACGAGAUCAAGUCGGCACUGCAGGACUGCACCGUCGUGCCAAUGCCCAUCUGAACCCCGCCACCCGUCUGGGCGCAGGUCAACUCGCACGACUACUAUUCAAGGUGAACCGCGUCCAGACCAGCUCACCGUUUUUAGCAGGAACCACUCCAAGUUGACAGGCUAGGGCCCGGUUUCUAUUUUAAUCUAAUGAACCAUUAAAUCUAUAGGUUCAAUGGUUCAUUACUGUUCAAAUAACUGCCCUAGAAACCGGGCAAGUAUUUAACUUACGUCAGUAUUUAUUUAUCCAUUGGAUGAACCAAACAACUACAAUAUUCAGAAAAAACAAGCUAAAUUUAAAGGUUCAAUGAUCCAUUAGAUUCAAUAUCUGUCCAAGAAACCGGGCAAAUGUUUCACUUACGUCAGUAUUUAUUUAUCUAUUGAAUGAAGCAAACAAGAUUCUCACAAAAGAAAAACAGGCUAUUGCCUCAAACUUUAAAUAUUUCUUAAUUUUGUAUUAGUAUUGCUUAUGAAACGUAUUUUUCAUUUAAGGAUUAACCACUUUAACCAUUUAACUAGUUAGUUUUAGUUUUGAUUGUUUUCACCAGAGAGUGAUUAAAGGUGAUAAGUAAUAAAAAGAUAAAGUUAAUAAUACAUUUUUUUUGUCAGUCUUAUUUAGUUAGUAAUGUUGAAGGACUCAUACCAGGAUAGGUUUACACAAUCACUCUCAAAUGAGAUUAGAAGUCUUUAUUAACAUGAGUUUGGUUGAAUUGGAUUUAAAACUUACGUCAUAGAAAUACAUAAUAUCAGCAUUUGUUUUGUAUAUUCUUGAGAAUUUUCAGAAUUAUAUAAAUGUCAAUUGGAUUUGUUUUUGUAUUCGCCUCAGAAUCAUAAUGAAUAUUGAUAAGAAUACUUCAAAAUAAAAAGGAAGCUGCUUCAAAACUAUUAUUGUCAUAGUUUCUAUGUGUUGUUAGGAUGGAUACCUCUUGAUUUCAUUUCUUUUCCUAAUGCUCCUCUGGUAGGAUUGGCAAUGGAUGUUUUCAAGAUGGAAAAAACUACUACCUACUUAUUUUGACCGUUUUAAGUGAACCAAUGAAUACUUGUGUAAUUGAAAACUCCUAUGUUUUGAUGGUAGUUACAGUUGUAUAUGUCAAAAUUGAACUGCGUUAUUCAGAAUUAUAUAAUAUAGAUUGUUUCUUCAAGUUACCUUUGAGUUCUCUAUCUAGUCAUUGCUGAUAGAAUAUUUAUUCUUUGAGAUGCUGUCUUGUAGUAUUAGUUAUUUCUAGGAUAAUUUUGGAUUGAAGUUCUUUAUGUUUUAAACGGAUACUACCAAACAUAAGUUGAAUUAAACCUGGGUGCAAUGUAUUGAGAAUUAUCCAUUGGAAGUUUCAUAAGAAUUGAGAAGUAUUAAGUUAUACUUUUUCACAAAUUUCAAUUGUUUGAGAUAGUUGUAUCCAUUUUAUUCGAGAAGAGAUUAAAUGAAUUAUUAUUCUAUAUCAUGAGAUUGACUUUGAUUGGAAAUUUAAAUAUGAAUUUAUCUUUUCUAGACUGAUUAGCAAACAGUGCAAUAAUGCAAUAACUAGUCAAUCAGGUCAGCUGCCGUACUUCUUGAAUAUUCUAGUCAGUUCUGUGGUAAAAUUGCAUAAUUAUUCAAUCCAAUGUAAUGAAUGAAAUAUUUUAUUACUGUAUUAGAUAAGAGUUGAAUUGCAAUGUUAACAUCACAUAAUAAUUUUGUUGGAAAAUAUAAUUUUAUUGAUUGGUGGUAAUUAUUUAUUUUGUUCAGGGCUACUUGCUAAUAUUAUUACAUAGAAUCACAAUAUUACCCUUCUAUUUUCUUUGUUUAGACGACCAGUUUCAGGUAUUCAUCCCAUUAUCAAGUAUCCAAAUGAAAAUUGUCGUGUCAUCGUAGAAAAUAAAAGGAUAUUAGUGAUUAUAUUAUAAUAAUAUUAUAUUUAAUCUUCAAAUUUAUUUUCAGAUUCAGAUUGUGUUAUGUCAUAAUAUUUUUACUACUGAUUUAUUUGAAAUAUGUUCUUGGCCAAUCUAGUAGCAGUUCUAUUACAUUUUAAACCACUGUAUUUAGUAAUGAAUAGGAGUGGAUAAUGUAUCAAUUGAUUCUUACAAUUCACUCUUAAGAACAUGUUUGUAAGGUGAAUCACUAUGCUUGGAAAUGAUGUUUUAAUUAACAAAAAUCAGAGAACUUCAAUUCAGCUCAUAAAAAUUGAUUCCGAAAAAUCAUUUGUUAUGCAAAUAACAAGACAUUCUUAGAGUAAUUGUUCAGGUGUAUAAAUUUUUAAUGUAAAUGUUAGACAUAAUGUGUAAAGAUGUUUGUAUAUUUGAACUAGAAUACAGAACGAGAUAAAGAUUCAGAUAUUUGGCUGGAUGCUUUCCAGAAAAAUCAGAAUUGGUUGUAACUAUUAACUUGAUGUGAAAAAUUGUGUAAAUACCAAUUAGGUAGUCAUAGAAAAUGUUAUAACAUACAAAUGCAUUUAUUUUUUUCACAACAUAAAAUCAUUAGUGUUUCAAAUUUUUAGUUGAAUAUAAAAUAUUAACUAUUCAACAGAUCUGAAUUUUACAAUAAUUUUCUCUCUUGUGACUGUAUUAUUGACAGUGAAUUUCAAUAUUUUGUACAUCAAUAGAUAUUUCAUCAUUUUGCCUUUAUUUCAAUUCCACAAAAUAAUUGCACAUUAUAACGAAAUUUUACUAAAUUAUCAAACGAACAUUUGUAAAGGUAAACAGGGAUAUUAAAUUGAUCUAUAAAAUAGUGUUUUUUAAGCUCGUACCUAUAUACCUAGCAGUGUAAAUUGUAUUUUGUAAUAAAAUUGCUGUUUCGAUUUAACCAGUAACUUGAUCGGAUAAAUAAUGAUGAUAAAUUAUUGUUCUAUAUACAAAAACAAGUGGAUAGCUAUAGGGAAGAAUGUAGCAAUGUUGUGCUAAAUUUAUCGUAAGUUAUGUUUGUUAUAGUUCUUAGACUGUUUUUGUUAAUAGAUUGUUGUUAUUUUGUUGUGAUAUUGUUGAAUUAAUGUAGUAUUCAUUUCAAUAAUGCUUUAUUCAUGUAUUCAUUUGAAGCUCACAAGUUUUGUUACCCUUUUAUUAUUGAAAUCAUAUUCGUAAUAAUUUUGAAUAGAUACAAUAAUUUAGUUAUUUUAAUAGUAAUAAUUGGUGUUUUUCAUUGAAAGUGUAAAUAAAAUUAGGUUAAUCAAAUGAUUAAACACUAGACAAGUGAAUUGAGCAUUGUAUUCGACUAAAUGUGUUUAGUUUGUGUUCAUACUAUUAAAAGAAGUAUUUGCAACGAAUCUUUGUAUGUAUAGUAGAGUUGGUUGUCUUAAGCUCUGGAAACACAUAGUAAUAUUAUUGUUUUCAAUUUAUUGUAUUUUACUGUGAAUAACAAAAGAGAAAGAUAUUUAUAAGAAUAGUGAGUGCUUAAUGAUCACCAUAAAAUACCACACAUUAAGACAAGCUGAAAUUCCCGUUUGUAAUAUUGAAAUGAUAAUUUAAAAACAACAUAUGUUUGAUGUAUGGUAUAUUUCAUGAUAUAAUAAAAUUCAUUAUAAAAUA
Nilaparvata lugens (brown planthopper) is the source of this 9383-nucleotide RNA transcript. It is a transcript of the gene named trithorax group protein osa, with no coding region annotated. NCBI's taxonomy places the organism in Eukaryota, Metazoa, Arthropoda, Insecta, Hemiptera, Delphacidae. The transcript is spliced from 19 exons. The record is from RefSeq and is a predicted model, not a curated record.